This 267-nucleotide ribosomal RNA is filed under the name uncultured bacterium. RNAcentral's name for it is "partial 16S ribosomal RNA". It matches the Rfam family "Bacterial small subunit ribosomal RNA", at positions 28 to 286 of the family's 1533-position model. The record is from RNAcentral.
GAUGAACGCUGGCGGCGUGCCUAAUACAUGCAAGUCGAGCGAACAGACGAGGAGCUUGCUCCUCUGACGUUAGCGGCGGACGGGUGAGUAACACGUGGAUAACCUACCUAUAAGACUGGGAUAACUUCGGGAAACCGGAGCUAAAUACCGGAAUAAUAUAUUGAACCGCAUGGUUCAAUAGUGAAAGACGGUUUUGCUGUCACUUAUAGAUGGAUCCGCGCGCAUUAGCUAGUGUAAGUAACGGCUUACCAAGGCAACGAUGCGUAG